Molecule: long non-coding RNA, 8550 nt
Organism: Pezoporus occidentalis (night parrot)
Lineage: Eukaryota; Metazoa; Chordata; Aves; Psittaciformes; Psittacidae
Exons: 2
Source: RefSeq, a predicted model, not a curated record
UUCUGAUAGCCCUUUCUCAAAAGAGCUUUCCAGUCUCCUUUGUUUUAUGGUGGUACGUUGUCUGUAAUUCAGGCUGUUGGCUCCUUGAGCAGCAACCUGCCAUUUGUUGUUAGCCUGUACACAGCUGUGGCACUGAAGGAACAAUAAAAAUAACACUAAAGUUGGGCUGAGAGCUACGAAAUGUUUCCUGCCUUUCUGAUGCUGAAGUAAUGUGGCAGAUGGUCUAGUUCUUGUUACUAGUUCCUUCCCUAGCAAAUCUCUUACGAGGACUGGCAUGAGAGCCAUUUAGUAUGAAAUGCUUUCUCCCAGUGCUGUCUAUGGGAGCAGUUCCUUAAUCUAUUAUAUAAUAUCUGACAAAAUCAGAGAAAUUGGAUGGCAUGGCUCUUCUGUCAGCUGGACAGAUUUCUUUUGUUGUGGGUUCUUUUCUUUUUUUUUUUUUUUUUUCCCCAAGCUAAUAAUCCUCAUUGUCAAUGAAGAAAGGCACACAUCUAUUUUUCCCUAAGAAGAUUCUUUUAAAAUUAAUUUUGAGAAUCGUUUUCCAUAUCUAGGGUUUUUCCACUUCUAAGUAAAUAGUGGUAUUUGCAUUAACUUCCGUGUACUUUAUACCACAAAGGAUUAGUCAUAUUCACAACCUCCAUGUUUAUUUGCAACAUUUAGUUUGAAUAGAUUCUGUCUGGAGCCCCAGCCCUAACUUGAACCUGUCUAGAGGUUGUUCCACAACCUGCUGUUGUUGCUUGGGUUGUUUUGUUGUUUUUUUUUUAACUCAAACAUUAAUUGCUGAUGAAUUACUGCUCUCUUAAAAGUCUACCUACCCUUGGGCUACCUCUUUACCUAUUUUACUUUGAUAAACAGCUGUGCACUGCAUACUUCCUGAUAUUUAAGUGAUUUUGGCAGAACACAGACUUGAAACAAAAACGAAAAUUGCUCAAUCCCUGCUGUUUCCUUUAACGUUGCUUUCAUUUUCAAACAGUUUCAAAAACAUUUUGCCUCCUUUCGUAUUUAUUCUGGGUCACAUUAGUGGAUACAAGCUAUGGGCAGUGUUUAGAAGCUGCUGUGUAACUAACAUUUUCUGUCAAUGCCAAACUCUUAUUUUACCUGGAAAACAUUUUAGCCUUUUACAGCAGACAUUACCACAGAUAAUUGUCUUCUGUUUUAGCUUUUUCUCUAUUGUGUGUUUCAUUCUCGUCUAACAAAGGGUUUAUCUUGUGUCUAACAUCCUCAGUGGAACAGAAAUGCAUGCAGCUUUGCCUGACAGUCCUUUAUGUUUAUCUCUCACCACUCAGUAUUUUAAAUUCACAUGUUCUCCAAUAUGCUUUGUAUUUUUUCUCUUAAAGGUUUCCUAAUUCAGCCUUUUCUUUUGGAAAGAUGCUCUUAAAUUCCUGUACUUCAGCACCUUCACUAUGCCGUGUUUAUGUUCUGUUUAAUACUUCAUGUGACAGUUUCCUGGCACAAAACCUGUCCUUUGUGCCAGGGAAUAUUAAUGUUGUCCAUUGCCCUGUAAAAUAAGAAUAACCCCUUCUCAGUCAUUGCAAAACAACAUUUCACAUGUGCUAUGGAUCUCUAGAUUUAAAAUAGUAACAAAUCAACAAAACUUUUUAAAAAGCAACCCUUUUUCUAGAUUUACUGUUACUGGAAGGGAUGAAGAGAAAACAUUAACUGCUUUUCAGUAAAAGCUGUUGAAUAUGAGUGGUAGAUAAUGUUAAGUACCUGCAAACUAUACAGUUAGGGAACUGUAUAGGUCAGGGGUCAGAUUUUUAUUUCAUAUGAAUGCAACAAAAUUGAAUUAGUGUCUGUCAAAAUGGGAGAAGAACUUUAAUAUGAAUUAGGUGAUGUAUAAUGAGGAAAAAAGAUAAUGUCCAAGUUAGAAAGAGACACCCGCUGAAUAUACUAAAAGCAAUUCACAGCUCUAAGACAAAGCUAGACUAAGAGCAGAAAUCAGUUCAAGCUUACAAACACUUAAGCCUAAAGAAUCUAAACAUUUUUCACUGAUGAUAAAAGAUUGCAGUCUGUUUGCACAGAGACAGCCUGUUGGUAAUAUUUCUUUGUCACAUCUAAAAAAUUUUUCUUGCCAUGAAACGUGGAACCCUGAGCAGUCCUUGGUUCUGGAGUUGCGAACAAUUGUUGAAGUGAUCAGGAUGGAUUGAAGAUAGAGGAGAGAUCCUAAAGCAGGAUGUGUGCUAUGAAUUUGCCGUAUCCUGCAAUAUCAGUCGUCAGUUCUUUGCCUCUAGGUCUCCUAGUGGUGGAUGGAUUUGCACAGAUGUUACUUAUGGUCUAAGAAAUGCUGUGGUUUAGUAUUCUACUUGACAGCUAAAGAAAAGCAGUUCCUUAAAUAAGUUAAAGAUGACAGUUUAAGAUCCUGGGCUGGUCCUAUCUAUAUAAGGUGGAAGGACCACUUUGACUCUAGGAUUUAAAAUUAGAUCCUUAAGGGCCUAUUGGUUGUCUCUGUGUUCAGACAUUUAGAGUCUGUGGAUGCCAAACACUUUGAUAUCAAAAGCCCCUGGUGCUUCAUGUUCUGCUUUGCACUUUUUGCACUUUGGAGCCAGCAGUGCUGAUGGACCAGGUCUUUGUCCACACCUUGGCCUUUUGGGGAUUUAUGGAAUAAGCAUUUCACUCCUUUAGCCCUGGGGAAUGAUUGUAAAGUCUACUAAAAGCAAACUUAUUUUCGGUGUGCCAUAUUACUUGAUGGUCAUAUUUUCAGUGCAUCCCUUCAGCAACUGCCAUUCCAAGUUCCUUGUUCCUCCCCCUCCAGCUGGUGCCUCUUUCUGAUCCUCACAGUGGAGCUGGUGCACCGCUUCAGCCUGGAGAGUGUGUCCAGCUACAAAAUAGAAAAGCAGCAAUAGGAAAAAAAGUUGCUUUUAGGCCCAGCUAGACGCUGGGCACCUCAAGGUGUAGCUGCAGCCACACUCCUACCCCUGGGCUGGAUGGGAUCAUGUAGAGUGUCUGAGAGAGCAGCAAAAGACAGGGAGCAAAUGCUGAAGCCACAGCUGCUAUCACAGGUCAAGCAAGUCUUUUCUGUGCUUGAAAAAGAGACUUGGGUAUUCAAAGCUGUGAGUACACAAAGGCUGUGAUUCUUAGAAUUAUCAAAUAGUUUAGGUUGGGAAGGACCUUGUGAGAUUUAGUCCAUCCACUAACCUAGCACUGCCAAGUCCACCACUAAACUGUCCCUAAGUGCUGCAUCUACACCUCUUUAAAAUGCUUACCGGGCUGGGGACUCAACCACUGCCCUGGGCAUCCUGUCAGUGCUUGAGAACCCUUUUGGUGAGGAAACUUUUGUCCAAUAUAAACCUCCUCUGGUUCAAUUUGAGCCUGUUUCCACUUGUUCUAUUGUUUGUUAACUUUGGUGAAAAGACUAAACCCCACUUUGCUGCAAUCUCCUUUCACGUAGUUGUAGCUAGUGAUGAGGUUUCCCCUGAGACCCCUCUUCUCCAGCCUAAACAGCCCCAGCUCCCUCAUCCAGCUUGUGCUCUAGACCCUUCACUAGCUUUGUCCAAGGCAGCAGUUCUGCUUACCCCCCUCCUUACUUCUCUGAGAAUUGAAAACUCAUUUUGUGAUUACUGUGCCCAAGGCAGCCUCCAGCCAUCACAUCACCCACAAUUUGUUCUCUGUUCACUAACAACAGGUUCAGGGGGCACCUUCCCUAGUUGGCUCCCUCACCAGCUGUGUCAGGAAGUUAUUUUCCACUUGCUCCAGGAACCUCCCAGAUUACUUAGUCUCUGCUGUAUUGUAUGAAAUGGCAGACAGAUAAAACCUAGAAGGAGUCACAAUUUCCUAGCAUCUCCAACUGGGCAGUUUAAAUAGUCUUCUUGACAGUGUGCCAGUCAUUUUAGUACCAGAUAUGAUCACACUGCAAUUAAGUGCUGCAAGCCCACAUGGAUGAGGAGUAGAAAAAAACUGAAAAGGCUCACUGAUAGGUUUUACCUACCUGUGCAUUAAAAGCAGUUAUCAGGUUUCUGCCCUUUAAAUUUUAAUGUUCAAAACCCUGAGAAUCAAUUAUGUUAAUAAAUACUUUAACACCUCAGCUCUUUUAGAGUCGCUGUGGGACAAGAAGAGUUCACAAAGUGCUUUGGUUUUCUGCAGUGUAGAAAAAUUGCCAGCCAGGAGUUGGCAGAGAGCAUCAGUAUCUCUCUAGGACUCCUCCAGUUGGCAGCUGCAGGAUAUCAGCCUGCCGGAAAGGCUGCUGUAAAGCUGGAUGUUUGCAAAGAGCCAGCUGCUCCUUGCGUCAGGGAAACCUCAUGCUCAGUUUGACCCAAAUGGGUACUGAUAUGCUUGAUUUUUAUACAGGUCUGGAAAUGCACGCUGGUCAUAUGUAAAUGUGCUCACGAGGUCAGUUGUUGCUGAUUAUUGCUGCCAGUUUGCCUCUGUAAAGCAGCAAGAAACUGACACUUUCUAAAAUCAGAGCAAUUUGCUAAUUUAAAAUGUUAAUGGAUUCAUUUAUGGGGGUUUUUGCAUCCUUUAUCAGGUCUAGAACUGCUAUUCACUUACAGAGAAUUAUUUUAUGUGCAUGUUUUCCCUUGUGAUUUAUUUCUAGUCCAACUUUUACAUUGCUAAAUUCUGCACUAACCCAAGUGAAAUAAUAUUUUCUGCUCAGUGAAGGAUUAAUACUUUUGAUGAGGUGUUUCUGACACAGGAGGUCCACAGAUGUUCUUGCACAAGCUUUAAAAGGGACAUUCGACAUGUGGUAUUACAAGAACAUAUUCAGCAAAUUUAGGUAAGUGAAUUCACUUAAUAAACUGCUUUUCAUUGAACUAGAUGGAGCCAAAUCAACUACUUUCCCAAUAAAUUUAUUAGUGCAGUAUAGUUUGGUGCUUUACUAAGCUGCUGUGUUUUGGAGUGGAAGGAGUGAAGCCAGUGGCACUGGGAAGUUUCAAGGCAGAAAAAGGGCAGCUCCCUAGGAGUACAGCAGUGUGCUUACUGCAGUGCUGCUGCUUCUCCAGAUUUUGAAAGAAGGGAUUCAUGUUGUGCUACACAACCAUCCCUGAAACUCAAAAAUGUUGAAGCCAAAAGAAAGAUGAGCUAUUUUGGAUGCCCCCUUCACUGCUUUUCAUUUCAUAAAUAAUAAGGUGUCCUGAAGGGGCUGGAAUAGGAAAUUCUCACAGCCCCAGAAAGCAUCCUGGGACUCUGUUUCUAGCCUCACAGUUAAUGUCUGGAGUUUCUAACAAGAGGAGCCAUUCACUGUGUUAAAUUCACAUGCAUAAACCCUUUUGUGGAUACUGAAUGCUUUGGCAUAUGCAGAGUUCUUCUUUCAAAAGCCCAUAUUCAAUACAGAUUUCAACAUUUCUGGACAGUAAGUCAUCUCUAUCCAUCAAGACUGAGAACCACAAAAGUUGGGUGCUUUUUAUAAUUGAGUGUGACUUCUCCAAAGAGAGAUGAUUGCACCAUAAGAAUGGAAAUUUUUCUGCCAGAAUUUGCCUCCCUGUAUCACUUUCCCUACUGAAAGAUGUUUGGGAUUUGGGAUAUGCUGUCACAAUGGGUCUUGGAUGAGACAUUACAGAUCAUGUGCUUUGGAUUUUGUCUGACACGGAGUCUUUGUCAGGCAGCUUGCAGAUAACACUGACUCCUGCAGUAUUUAUCCAAAUGACCUCAAAAUGACUUGGUCAAAGGAAAAAAAAGAAAAAAAAAGAGGUUAUAGCUUUCCACUCCUUACCUCGAGCUCUUGACCUGCAUAAAGAUCAGAUUUCUUUAAGAGAUAUCGGAGAAGACUUUGUUUAUAUUCCCCUUAUUUACAUUACAGCUAUUGUCUAGUAUGUCCUGCUCUUUCUGGGUAGGCAGCACUCUCUGAGUGCUAAACACAGCUUACUAGGCUGCCAGAAUGACAGUUCUACAUCGUAUUAUGAAGGUGGGUCCUUAGUGUGGAUUUUAUUAGAGUAAGGCAUCUACUUUCACUGCCCAUGAUCCCACCCUAACCCAUCGCUUCUGCAUUCAUUCCCCAGCAUGUGCUGACUACUCUAUUUUCUUAGGUAGGGUUUAAUAAGUUUUUCUUGAUGUUAUGCAAAAUAAUCAGGCAAACCAAUAUUAGAUGCCACCACUUCAGCCUCUGGAAUAAGAGUUUUGUUAGCAAAGUGAGUUAGAAAAUAGUUUUAUUUUGAAACAGUAGCAUUUGGGUAUUUGCUUGCCAAGUUAAUUUUAUGUUUCUUAAUACACAUAUUCCUUAGACUGAGCCAUCAUUUCCUGGUUUCUGAAGCUGAAACAAUAUUUGUUUCCUUCCUAAUCACAUGGUUUUAGUUAAAAAGGAGUUUUGAUUUGGUUCUCUUAAAAUUAGAAGCAUAUUUUGUUUCAAUUUGAUUAUUUUUAAAGUUCGGCAACUCUGACAACAGGAAAAAAGACUCCUAAGAGCACUUUCUUAAAAAAUUCUGGACACUUACAAAAUAAAUGAAACACCACCAAGUAGUUUUCCUUCGAUAACCUCACUAUAUUUUUAUUUCUCUUGUAUUUCUUCUAACAGUGUUAUCCACUAAUAUAACCCAAUGAAGAUAUUUCAGUCAUUGCAUCCAUAAACUAGCCUUGAUUCAUGGAGAAGCAUCCACACAACCUCUCCUAAAGAUGUGAGCUGGCAACUUACACACAUGUGAAUGCUCAUUAGUUUCACUGAUGGAUGUGAGAGAACCUGUUAGCAGACUGUAAAGACUGAGCUUCAGUGUUGAACCCUUCUGGGUGACUGGGGGGAAUAAGAUUACUUCUGUGAGAUGGAUGGGAAACUCUUAAACUCUCAAAUACCAGUUACAAGUAAGAAAACACAUUGUUUGCAUCAAGGAGUUUAGACAUUCUUCUUUUGAAUGAACCUCAGAAUGUCACAAGUUGCUGUAAAUGAGGAUAACCUUGUGAAAUGUUCUCUCUCUGCUGAACAGAAUCAAAGCUGUUUGAAAGAGACCCAGGUGUGACAUCCUGCUUACUAGCAGGUGUGUUAUCUGCUCCUAACAACUUAAUCUGGGGGUGAAGCAAGCAGCAUGGGUGAAGAUUUGCUUCAUAUAUAAACAUUGAAAUAAAGAGCCCACAGCCUCUGGCAACUCAGCAGAGUUAAAAGGUAUUUAGAUUCAGUAAAGACAGUAAUAGGAAGCCAAAGUAUUUUUUUUUUUCUGUUACCAAGAAGCCAGAUCAUAUCCUCAGAAACUUCUUCCUCAGGUACUACAAAACCUAAUUCUUGAGAUAAAAUCAAAAAAGACAUCAGGCAGUAGCUCAUUGCUCCUUAUGUCCUCCCUGAUUUUUGCCCUGCUAUCAAGGACACCUUUGAUUUUAUUAACCAGAAGAGAAAAACAACUGUCAGAUUCCUCACACAAAUCACAUUCUGCCAGCUGUGCUAAAAAAAAGUGAUGCAAGGAUCACAACUAUAAUGGCUCCUCUGGAGAGGCCAUCUCUAAUCCUACUAUGAAGACAGGUAUUUUUCCAGAAACUGAGCUAAUCUGGGAACCUGGAGCCUAGUUCUAAUCCAGUUUUCUUGUCCUGAGGUGAAGCCAAAGUUUACCUUUCCAUUGAGAAGACAAGUGUGUCCACUCCUUUCACCCCCACCCUUGACAGUAGGAACUGUUUUGAACCCACACUGCAUGGUCAGAGUGGAAGUACAGUAGAUGAUCCUUCUCCAUGGAAACUACAGAUCAAAGUGUUUUUCGAGACAUAUUUUGAAUGUAGCCAAGUGUUCUAAAGCAUUACACAGCCUGUGAAUUUGCUUUUCCUUCACUAUGGGUUAAUGAAUAAUCCACUGUGUACUUUUAUCUUGCAAAGUUUGGUCUUUAAUUGUUGGUUUCAGGAGACAGAAAGCAACUAAAUAUUACUGAUUUGGUUUUUUUUGUUUUUCUUUUAAGUAGUAUGUGAAAUCAGUAAACGGAAUGUUGUGAGGUUUGUUAAAUUGUAGCUAACAGCUCACCAUUGUCAGAUGGCAUAGACCCUGCUGCCUUUACCCCAUCCCCUUGCUUAAGACAGUCUCAUCUUCAACCUUCUGCCAGGUCUCACACCUGCUGGAUCUUUCACUAGCUCAUCAGAUCUGCAAACCCAGCAGGAACAGCUUCUGUAGGGUUAAUGACUGGUCUUAUGCAAUUUCACACUUUAGCGAAGUGAUUGUGCAAGGACUGGAACAUGUGAGCUACAGGCACCACAUGGCAUCUGCUCACAGAUAACCAUUUGUGACUGCUGUCCUUCUGUUCAGUUUUGAACAUUUAGGUCAAGAGACCUCCUGUGUAAGCCUGGGCUGCCACCAAACAAAGUGGUGAGUCAAGACUCUGCGACAGCUCAUAUCCUCUGUGGCUCACCAGAAAGACCUCUAACACUGAAAGACUCCAGUUGCAUGACAGUGAGUUCAGUUCCAAUUUUCCCAUCUAAUUGUUCCUUUAACAACAAAAGUCUGCAAAAACCAGCCUGACAAACCAAUCUUAUGAGUACUGCUUCCUGUUUUCUGAAGCUGAAUCCAGAACAACAGUUUGUGUAAUGAUGAUGAGCUGUUAAAUAAAAUUAAGUCUUUUUCCCUAUGGACUUUGUAAUAAAAACUGUAAACAAUAUUUUGCAAAUAAAGCUGCAGGCCUAUGGGCUGUCACUCCCAGAUGGCAUGAAUUAGUGGAGGAA